UUGCUUUAUGUGAGACAAGGGCUCGUGUCACCCAGGGUGGUCUUGACUGUAUAGAUGAGAAUGACUUUGAAUUUAGAAUCCUACCACUUCCUCUGCUUGAAUACUGGGAUUACAGGUUUGUACCGGCUUGCCAGAUUUUAUGGGGUGCUGAGGGCUUCGUGCAUGCAAUGCAAGGAAGGCAUUCUACCAACUGAGCUACAACCCCAACUCUUUUUAUGGCUUCUGUCCACUGUCCUUUUCAAUCGCAGGAGUUUUUGCUCACUUUGUUCCUGGCCGUACAUCCCCAGUGCCUGCCACUGACAGACAGAAUUUGAUCUUGAGCGAGUGGGCACUGUGGCAAAUGGGUUGGGUGGCAGAAAGGAGAGAGGCUCAUGAACGUUUGAGGCUAGCGGUGAGAAGGAGGUAAGGAAGGCCCCCUCCAGCCUCGGUUUCUUCAUCUGCAAAUAGGAUCGCAACAGCAGCCCGAGACACGGGAUAACUAGGGAAAACAGGCUCCUUUCUUCCCUGUCAGUGUAGGACUCAUUUGGAGGCUGUUCCCUGCCUGCUCAGCAUCCUUAGCUAUGCCCACAUCAGCUUUCAAACCUCAUGCAGACAUGUUUAAUGACUUGAGAUGGGAUAGGACUCUGGAUCUUCAUGGACUUGGUGUUUGCUUGACCUGCCUGCCUGACCACCCAACCACACAGGAGUCGGCAGUCAGCGUGGUCAAGUCCAGGAGCCAUAGGGUCACUCUGGCCUUGCUUCCCUG
This is a long non-coding RNA of Mastomys coucha (southern multimammate mouse), 745 nucleotides long. RefSeq lists it as uncharacterized. The record is from RefSeq and is a predicted model, not a curated record. The transcript is spliced from 2 exons. Lineage: Eukaryota; Metazoa; Chordata; Mammalia; Rodentia; Muridae.